GGCAGGAGUGGAUGGCGCUCUGUGAGCCUGUGGAGGUGGGAUGUACAGGCUUUGCAGGUUCCUGGUUGAUGCAGUGGAGUAAACAAGAAGAAUGGAGGAUCUGAGAGAAAGAGGAAAGAAACGAGAAGGAAGGCACAGGGAUACAUGGGAUCCAUUCCAGCUGAACCCCGCAGGAGCUGAGAAGGAACAAAAGAGAAG
Pundamilia nyererei is the source of this 198-nucleotide long non-coding RNA. RefSeq lists it as uncharacterized. NCBI's taxonomy places the organism in Eukaryota, Metazoa, Chordata, Actinopteri, Cichliformes, Cichlidae. The record is from RefSeq and is a predicted model, not a curated record. The transcript is spliced from 3 exons.